CCUACGGGUGGCAGCAGUGGGGAAUAUUGGACAAUGGGGGCAACCCUGAUCCAGCCAUGCCGCGUGUGUGAAGAAGGCCCUCGGGUUGUAAAGCACUUUCAGUGAGGAAGAACGCCUGGUGGUUAAUACCCAUCAGGAAAGACAUCACUCACAGAAGAAGCACCGGCUAACUCCGUGCCAGCAGCCGCGGUAAUACGGAGGGUGCGAGCGUUAAUCGGAAUUACUGGGCGUAAAGCGCGCGUAGGUGGCUUGAUAAGCCGGUUGUGAAAGCCCCGGGCUCAACCUGGGAACGGCAUCCGGAACUGUCAAGCUAGAGUGCAGGAGAGGAAGGUAGAAUUCCAGGUGUAGCGGUGAAAUGCGUAGAGAUCGGGAGGAAUACCAGUGGCGAAGGCGGCCUUCUGGACUGAAACUGACACUGAGGUGCGAAAGCGUGGGUAGCAAACAGGAUUAGAUACCCGUGUAGUC
This 465-nucleotide ribosomal RNA is filed under the name Vreelandella stevensii. RNAcentral's name for it is "partial 16S ribosomal RNA". It matches the Rfam family "Bacterial small subunit ribosomal RNA", at positions 338 to 795 of the family's 1533-position model. The record is from RNAcentral. Lineage: Bacteria; Pseudomonadati; Pseudomonadota; Gammaproteobacteria; Oceanospirillales; Halomonadaceae.